This 131-nucleotide microRNA precursor is filed under the name Podarcis lilfordi (Lilford's wall lizard). Lineage: Eukaryota; Metazoa; Chordata; Lepidosauria; Squamata; Lacertidae. The record is from RNAcentral.
CUAAGUGGCCAGGGGGAUGAAGUGGGGUGGGGAGUCAGAUGGGUCAGGAGAGAGACCAUCUUGCAUACAUUUUCUGUCUCUCCUGACCCAUCUGAUUCCCCAUCCCACUACACCCCCCUGGCCACUUAGUU